Homo sapiens (human) is the source of this 688-nucleotide long non-coding RNA. RefSeq lists it as uncharacterized. NCBI's taxonomy places the organism in Eukaryota, Metazoa, Chordata, Mammalia, Primates, Hominidae. The record is from RefSeq and is a predicted model, not a curated record. The transcript has 2 exons.
AUUGGAAGGGGAGCCAUGGUGAAUUAGGAAAAUGCACAGCGGGUGCAAAGUAGCCCCCUCCAGGUGUUUGGCUUGUGCAGGUCCCUCUCACUUCAUGGCUUAAGAAAAACAAACAAACGAAAUCUCCUUCAGGUCUUGUGUCUCCAUUAUGUGGUCAUUCUUUUGAUCUGAUGUCACAUUCCACGUUUCAUUGCCUGACUGAAAAUAAACAUUUAUUUUCAUUCAUAGGAUGCUGACUUCCAUCUGAAUUCCACAUGAAUCUUGGCAUUUAUUAUUUCCCAUCUCUCCAAAAUGCUCAGCUCUGCCCAUAGGCUCAACUUGAAGCAAUAAAAGGGAAGUAGCCAAGAGCUUACUUUCUCUAACUUUUUUCUUUUUUUUUUGAGAUGGAGUCUCUCUGCGCCGAGUUUGGAGUUCAGUGGCAUGAUCUCGGCUCACUGCAACCUCCGCUUCCUGGGUUCAAGCAAUUCUCCUGCCUCAGCCUCCCGAGUAGGAAAAAGGAAUAUGCUUCUUUGGGAAGGACAUGAACUAGGGCGACAGCAAAAGGAAAGCGAAUGUGGGGCUGUUUUGGAGUCCCAUACACUCUCAGCGGCAGAGCAAUAUUAAAACUUCCUAGAAGACAUCUGAGCAGCAAUUCUAAUAAUCAUGUAUUAUGUAUCUGCAAUAAAUAAACCAUGAACCAACUAGCAAA